Molecule: ribosomal RNA, 195 nt
Filed under: uncultured bacterium
Lineage: Bacteria
Description: partial 16S ribosomal RNA
Rfam family: Bacterial small subunit ribosomal RNA
Source: RNAcentral
AAAAUACGGGAGGCAGCAGUGAGGAAUAUUGGUCAAUGGGCGAGAGCCUGAACCAGCCAAGUCGCGUGAAGGAUGACUGCCUUAUGGAUUGUAAACUUCUUUUGUAGGGGAAUAAAGAGAGGUACGUGUACCUCAGUGAAUGUACCCUACGAAUAAGCAUCGGCUAACUCCGUGCCAGCAGCCGCGGUAAUUUUU